Molecule: long non-coding RNA, 498 nt
Filed under: Theobroma cacao (cacao)
Lineage: Eukaryota; Viridiplantae; Streptophyta; Magnoliopsida; Malvales; Malvaceae
Description: long non-coding RNA (TCAC_LNC001879)
Source: RNAcentral
AUGUUAGAAUGAAUUUUAUUGAUUGGUGGAUUAUAUAUUAAUUAUUUACUGCAGAGGGGGUUCCGUGGACCAGCCUAUUAGAGGAGCACGGUAAACUCCAUUAUAUUAUUACCUCGAACAGAGAGGCGCGUAGGGUUUCUCCUGGGGUAAAGCUUAGGGUUCACUUCACGCCAAACCACCACGUGAAGAGGAACUCAGCCAACACCAAGGAACGGCUGUAUUUUUCUCAAACUAAAAUAUAUUUUAAGUGUAUACAAAAUUUGAACAGCCUUGGCGGACUCGGUUAGAUGCCCUGCGCAAGGUAUCACCGAGUAUGAGUUUUGACACGAGCCAAAGUUUUAAGAAAUUCAUAAGUCAAGUUGAUUACUCGAUUUAUAUGGAUUGAUUUUAUUUGGUUGAAAUGAACUGAAAGGUAAUGAAAUUACAGUAUGAUGACUUAUUUUAAUUGUCUCCAUUUACUCGACUUUAGAUACUUUAGAUGGUAUAUGUUUACUCACU